Molecule: ribosomal RNA, 454 nt
Filed under: uncultured Anaerolineaceae bacterium
Lineage: Bacteria; Bacillati; Chloroflexota; Anaerolineae; Anaerolineales; Anaerolineaceae
Description: bacterial SSU rRNA
Rfam family: Bacterial small subunit ribosomal RNA
Source: RNAcentral
GACGGGACCCGCACAAGCAGCGGAGCGUGUGGUUUAAUUCGUUGCUACACGAAGAACCUUACCUGGGUUUGACAUAUAGGUUGUAGGGAACUGAAAGGGACCGACCCUUCGGGGAGCCUAUACAGGUGUUGCAUGGCUGUCGUCAGCUCGUGUCGUGAGAUGUUCGGUUAAGUCCGCUAACGAGCGCAACCCUCGUCGUAUGUUAUAUGUGUCAUACGAGACUGCCGGUAAAAGCCGGAGGAAGGUGAGGAUGAUGUCAAGUCAGCAUGACCUUUAUAUCCAGGGCUACACACACGCUACAAUGGUCUGUACAAUGGGUAGCCAAGCCGCGAGGCGGAGCCAAUCCUGAAAGCAGGCCUCAGUUCAGAUUGCAGUCUGCAACUCGACUGCAUGAAGCCGGAGUUGCUAGUAACCGCAGGUCAGCAAUACUGCGGUGAAUACGUUCCCGGGUCUU